CGUUGCCUGCGGUGUUCGAGUUGGUCACAGAAACCCUUAGAACCUAAUAUACAAUCCCGGAUGCUGGUGUGAAUGGUGGGUGUGUAUGAACUCAGCGAUAAGCUGGCGGGAAUCCCAAAACCAGUCCUGGUAUCCACUUGAACCUUCUGGUUCAAGGUAAUGUGAACGCGCGGCACAGGUGGGUAACGC
RNAcentral lists this non-coding RNA (189 nucleotides) under Gammaproteobacteria bacterium. RNAcentral describes it as "6S RNA". It matches the Rfam family "6S / SsrS RNA". From Rfam's summary of the family: E. coli 6S RNA was the first non coding RNA to be sequenced, but its function was unknown until recently. It consists of 184 nucleotides that fold into an extended hairpin structure with a large single-stranded internal bulge. The 6S RNA specifically associates with RNA polymerase holoenzyme containing the sigma70 specificity factor. The record is from RNAcentral. Lineage: Bacteria; Pseudomonadati; Pseudomonadota; Gammaproteobacteria.